Molecule: non-coding RNA, 27 nt
Filed under: Homo sapiens (human)
Lineage: Eukaryota; Metazoa; Chordata; Mammalia; Primates; Hominidae
Source: RNAcentral
UGGUGAUUCCUGGCAGAGUGGUUUGCU